GGUGGCUCAGCGGUAGUGUGCUUGCCUCACAUGCAUGAGGCUCUGGGUUCGAUUCCCCAGCACCA
Molecule: transfer RNA, 65 nt
Filed under: Dipodomys ordii (Ord's kangaroo rat)
Lineage: Eukaryota; Metazoa; Chordata; Mammalia; Rodentia; Heteromyidae
Rfam family: tRNA
About the family: Transfer RNA (tRNA) molecules are approximately 80 nucleotides in length.
Source: Rfam by way of RNAcentral